This 301-nucleotide ribosomal RNA is filed under the name uncultured bacterium. RNAcentral's name for it is "partial 16S ribosomal RNA". It matches the Rfam family "Bacterial small subunit ribosomal RNA", at positions 509 to 807 of the family's 1533-position model. The record is from RNAcentral.
CAGUAGCCGCGGGAAUACGGAGGGGGCUAGCGUUGUUCGGAAUUACUGGGCGUAAAGCGCACGUAGGCGGCUUGGUAAGUUAGAGGUGAAAGCCUGGAGCUCAACUCCAGAAUUGCCUUUAAGACUGCCGAGCUAGCAGGUGAGAGAGGUAAGUGGAAUCCCGAGUGUAGAGGUGAAAUUCGUAGAUAUUCGGAAGAACACCAGUGGCGAAGGCGGCUUACUGGCUCAUACUGGACGCUGAGGUGCGAAAGCGUGGGGAGCAAACAGGAUUAGAUACCCCCGUAGUCCCUGUCUCUUAUAC